RNAcentral lists this ribosomal RNA (497 nucleotides) under uncultured bacterium. RNAcentral's name for it is "partial 16S ribosomal RNA". It matches the Rfam family "Bacterial small subunit ribosomal RNA", at positions 28 to 507 of the family's 1533-position model. The record is from RNAcentral.
GAUGAACGCUGGCGGCGUGCCUAAUACAUGCAAGUCGAGCGAACGGACGAGAAGCUUGCUUCUCUGAUGUUAGCGGCGGACGUGUGAGUAACACGUGGAUAACCUACCUAUAAGACUGGGAUAACUUCGGGAAACCGGAGCUAAUACCGGAUAAUAUUCUGAACCGCAUGGUUCAAAAGUGAAAGACGGUCUUGCUGCCACUUAUAGAUGGAUCCGCGCUGCAUUAGCUAGUUGGUAAGGUAACGGCUUACCAAGGCAACGAUGCAUAGACGACCUGAGAGGGUGAUCGCCAGCACUGGAACUGAGACACGGUCCAGACGCCUACGGGAGGCAGCAGUAGGGAAUGUGCCGCAGCGGGGGAAAGUCUGACGGAGCAACGCGGCGUGAGUGAUGAAGGUCCUGCGAGCGUAAUACUCUGUUACUAGGGAAGAACAUAUGUGGAAGUAACUGUGCACAGCGUGACGGUAAUUAAUAAGAAAGCCACGGCUAACUACGUG